AAAAAAUAUAGAAUUAAUUUUCUAUAAACCCAAUCUGUGUAUUCGUACCUGUUGCUUCCGUGGGACAGUGAACGCUUGUCGUUCCCUCUGGCGCUGUUCUUCGGAACGGAUGCUGGGGAGUGCCCACGGGAGGUCUACAUAAACUCUGUUUUUUCUGAACUCAGUCUGAAAACUGUUUUUAAAUAAACUUUAAAACUUUCAACAACGGAUCUCUUGGUUCUCGCAUCGAUGAAGAACGCAGCGAAAUGCGAUAAGUAGUGUGAAUUGCAGAAUUCAGUGAAUCAUCGAAUCUUUGAACGCACAUUGCGCCUCCUGGUAUUCCGGGAGGCAUGCCUGUUCGAGCGUCAUUAACACCCCUCAAGCUUAGGUUUACCUAUUGCUUGGUCUUGGAGAUGGAAGCCAAUUCGUUGGAGUCCUCUUCGAAAUCCAAUGGCGAAGACCCUUGCUCUCCCAAGUGUAAUAAUAACUUAUGUCACUGAAGGAAGCGAGAAAUCUUCCGCCGAAACCCCAAAUUGUUUAUGAUUGACCUCGAAUCAGGUAGGGAUACCCGCUGAACUUAAGCAUA
This 565-nucleotide ribosomal RNA is filed under the name Pezizaceae sp. HSf2. RNAcentral describes it as "eukaryotic LSU rRNA". The stretch from base 194 to 347 matches the Rfam family "5.8S ribosomal RNA". The record is from RNAcentral. Lineage: Eukaryota; Fungi; Ascomycota; Pezizomycetes; Pezizales; Pezizaceae.